Molecule: ribosomal RNA, 468 nt
Filed under: uncultured bacterium
Lineage: Bacteria
Description: partial 16S ribosomal RNA
Rfam family: Bacterial small subunit ribosomal RNA
Source: RNAcentral
GACGAACGCUGGCGGCGUGCUUAACACAUGCAAGUCGAACGGAAAGGCCCUGCUUUUGUGGGGUGCUCGAGUGGCGAACGGGUGAGUAACACGUGAGUAACCUGCCCUUGACUUUGGGAUAACUUCAGGAAACUGGGGCUAAUACCGGAUAGGAGCUCCUGCUGCAUGGUGGGGGUUGGAAAGUUUCGGCGGUUGGGGAUGGACUCGCGGCUUAUCAGCUUGUUGGUGGGGUAGUGGCUUACCAAGGCUUUGACGGGUAGCCGGGCUGAGAGGGUGACCGGCCACAUUGUGGCUGAGAUACGGCCCAGACUCCUACGGGAGGCAGCAGUGGGGAAUAUUGCACAAUGGGCGGAAGCCUGAUGCAGCAACGCCGCGUGCGGGAUGACGGCCUUCGGGUUGUAAACCGCUUUCGCCUGUGACGAAGCGUGAGUGACGGUAAUGGGUAAAGAAGCACCGGCUAACUACGUG